RNAcentral lists this transfer RNA (69 nucleotides) under Splendrillia sp. 2 MNHN IM 2013-9750. RNAcentral's name for it is "tRNA-Met". The record is from RNAcentral. Lineage: Eukaryota; Metazoa; Mollusca; Gastropoda; Neogastropoda; Drilliidae.
UGUAAAAUAAGCUAAGCAAAGCUAUUGGGUUCAUACCCCAAAGAUGAAUAGAAAUUAAUUCUUUUACAA